Non-coding RNA from Lentinula raphanica, 96 nucleotides. The record is from the annotation of a GenBank genome assembly. Lineage: Eukaryota; Fungi; Basidiomycota; Agaricomycetes; Agaricales; Omphalotaceae.
GGGCAUGUAGCAUAGGGGUUAUCGCGUUCGCUUUGCAUGCAGAACGGACAGAAGAUGUUUUGCGAAAGGUCUCCGGUUCAAAUCCGGACUUGUCCA